RNAcentral lists this ribosomal RNA (253 nucleotides) under uncultured bacterium. Its description in RNAcentral is "partial 16S ribosomal RNA". It matches the Rfam family "Bacterial small subunit ribosomal RNA", at positions 524 to 776 of the family's 1533-position model. The record is from RNAcentral.
UACGAAGGGUGCAAACGUUGCUCGGAAUUAUUGGGCGUAAAGCGCACGUAGGCGGCAUUGCAAGUCGGAUGUGAAAUCUUAUGGCUUAACCAUAAAAGUGCAUCCGAAACUGCAGUGCUUGAGUACUUAAGAGGAUCGCGGAAUUCCCGGUGUAGAGGUGAAAUUCGUAGAUAUCGGGGGGAACACCAGUGGCGAAGGCGGCGAUCUGGGAAGAUACUGACGCUGAGGUGCGAAAGCGUGGGGAGCAAACAGG